ACGUCCUUCUAUUUUAUUAAUAUAGUCAUGGCCCAUUGGCCCAUCUAUUCCUUAACAUCUAUGAGAAGAGUCCGUGUAUGCUUUUUCUAUACGGAUACGGAGUACACCCGGACACCCGGAUACCUAGGCAUGGCGUAUAAUUAUUCAACAUUUCAACAGACAACAGAUGUUAAUUUGGAAUCUAGGCCAAUCCUUUGGAACAACACAUCCAACGAGAACAAANACAAAAAAAAUAGNAACUACAAACAGGUCAAACAGUGCAAACUAGUAUUUUACGAAACGGUGCUCAANUAUGAACCGAGUACGAAAGUCAGUAAUCAGAUGAUAUCGUUCCCCACCACCGACUACAAUAUCGUUGAGUGAGAAAGCUAUAAUCUAUAUUAUUUACACAUUGGACAUUGGACAUUUGGACUAUAAAGUUUACUUUGUAAUUACUGACUGUGCUAUGUGAAGAUAUUAUUACUUAUGAGAUUUAGAAGAACAAAUUUUACCUGAGCCAAAUUAUCAAAAAUAUUUUGAAGUAUAAAGAGUCNUUGAGGAUAUUUUUUUUAUUCAGAAGCUGGAAGUGAAGUGCUUAAGUUGUGUCGAUAUAAAGUGUUACAUGGUGUAUUCACUUUCCAACUCUAAUAUAAAAAAAAACAUUUCAGCAAGCAACGUCCAAAUCUAUUAAAAACAAUUGAUCACAAUAAUUAUUCAGCAAACAAAGACAUGUAAUGAUGGAUCACUAUAGAAUAAUACUGGUAGUUCUUAAAAACAAUCAGAUACUUAACAAUAACCAAUUUCAGAAGUUUUUUUAAACAACAUAAAGUUUACUUGUCAAAGUCAUGCCAUUGAAUAAUGGUCACGAGGAUUCAUCGAGAAGUAUUCAUCUUUCAGCAUUGAGACAACUAAAAAGUUCACAUAUGUUUGAUGUUUUUUGUCAAAGCUAUGGAUGCAGUAUACACUCAAUUAGAGAUUUUGGCUAAAUUAUUUUAUUGUACUACAGACGAUAGUUCUCAUUUUAGUAAAAUGUUCCCAAACAUUUGGUCAUAAAUUUGACGAUGGAAAAACUGAAAGAUUACUAGUAACUUGUCAGUAGAUGAUGAUUUAGAACAAAUCAAUGAAAUCAACUUCACCAUUCUAAAUUAUGAAGACCAAGAUUUUCAGUAUACAUAACCAAAAUACCAUUGAUGUUGUGCACUCAUAAUUAACUUUAUAGU
RNAcentral lists this long non-coding RNA (1199 nucleotides) under Diuraphis noxia (Russian wheat aphid). RNAcentral describes it as "uncharacterized LOC107170699, transcript variant X2". The record is from RNAcentral. Lineage: Eukaryota; Metazoa; Arthropoda; Insecta; Hemiptera; Aphididae.